Molecule: long non-coding RNA, 300 nt
Filed under: Selaginella moellendorffii
Lineage: Eukaryota; Viridiplantae; Streptophyta; Lycopodiopsida; Selaginellales; Selaginellaceae
Description: long non-coding RNA (SMOE_LNC001934)
Source: RNAcentral
UGUAUUACAGCAAACACAAAGAGAUCUUCUUAGCGUGCUUCGACCAAGGGGAGAAGUUAAUAUCUAUAUGGCAUUUCAAGACUAUGAAGUCAAUAUUCCCACUCCUCAAGGCUAUAAAAACUGACCCAAAAUUCCAUUGCACAACCACGAGUUCUCAUACUAUCAAGUUCUCAUACUAUCAAUUUAAGUACCAUGGCAUUAGUCAUGAUAAUGUUUAUGCUAUGCCUCCUGGGAUUAUCUCCGUUCUCUACACUAGCAUCUCCCUCUAGUAUUAUAACUGUGUCUGUGUUUAGGAAGUUC